UACGUAGGUGGCAAGCGUUGUCCGGAUUUACUGGGCGUAAAGAGCGCGCAGGCGGUCGUCCAAGUCGCGUGUGAAAGCCCCCGGCUCAACUGGGGAGGGUCACGCGAUACUGGUCGACUCGAAGGCAGGAGAGGGAUGCGGAAUUCCAGGUGUAGCGGUGAAAUGCGUAGAUAUCUGGAGGAACACCGGUGGCGAAGGCGGCAUCCUGGACCAAUUCUGACGCUGAGGAGCGAAAGCCAGGGGAGCAAACGGG
Molecule: ribosomal RNA, 253 nt
Filed under: uncultured bacterium
Lineage: Bacteria
Description: partial 16S ribosomal RNA
Rfam family: Bacterial small subunit ribosomal RNA
Source: RNAcentral